UAGAGAGGGUAGAGGAAAGCCUGAGU
RNAcentral lists this non-coding RNA (26 nucleotides) under Homo sapiens (human). The record is from RNAcentral. Lineage: Eukaryota; Metazoa; Chordata; Mammalia; Primates; Hominidae.